RNAcentral lists this ribosomal RNA (497 nucleotides) under uncultured bacterium. RNAcentral describes it as "partial 16S ribosomal RNA". It matches the Rfam family "Bacterial small subunit ribosomal RNA", at positions 28 to 507 of the family's 1533-position model. The record is from RNAcentral.
GACGAACGCUGGCGGCGUGCCUAAUGCAUGCAAGUAGAACGCUGAAGAGAGGAGCUUGCUCUUCUUGGAUGAGUUGCGAACGGGUGAGUAACGCGUAGGUAACCUGCCUUGUAGCGGGGGAUAACUAUUGGAAACGAUAGCUAAUACCGCAUAACAAUGGAUGACACAUGUCAUUUAUUUGAAAGGGGCAAUUGCUCCACUACAAGAUGGACCUGCGUUGUAUUAGCUAGUAGGUGAGGUAAUGGCUCACCUAGGCGACGAUACAUAGCCGACCUGAGAGGGUGAUCGGCCACACUGGGACUGAGACACGGCCCAGACUCCUACGGGAGGCAGCAGUAGGGAAUCUUCGGCAAUGGGGGCAACCCUGACCGAGCAACGCCGCGUGAGUGAAGAAGGUUUUCGGAUCGUAAAGCUCUGUUGUAAGUCAAGAACGGGUGUGAGAGUGGAAAGUUCACACUGUGACGGUAGCUUACCAGAAAGGGACGGCUAACUACGUG